AAAAAGGUAAGCUAACUUUAAGCUACUGGGUUCAUACCCCAUUUAUGGGAGAUAUCCCCCUUUUUA
RNAcentral lists this transfer RNA (66 nucleotides) under Cryptocephalus androgyne. RNAcentral describes it as "tRNA-Met". The record is from RNAcentral. Lineage: Eukaryota; Metazoa; Arthropoda; Insecta; Coleoptera; Chrysomelidae.